Molecule: long non-coding RNA, 388 nt
Organism: Tupaia belangeri chinensis (Chinese tree shrew)
Lineage: Eukaryota; Metazoa; Chordata; Mammalia; Scandentia; Tupaiidae
Exons: 3
Source: RefSeq, a predicted model, not a curated record
UGAGAAAGAGGAACCAGAAACUACUGUCUGGAACAGUACACUGCCAUGUGCCCUAUAAAGGUGCUGAAAUGGAGGCUCAGAAAGAUGAAAACAACUGCCCAAAAUGGACAUAGCUGGUUUGCGAACAACAUAAGGUGAUGGAGCAAAUGGCACCCAAACACACAUCGUACCUGUGCGCCGCCUGCCCGCACGUGUGCACAGCCCGCCUGCACGUGUGCGCCGCCCGCACGUGUGCACCGCCAGUCCGCCCCUGUGCGUAGCCCGCCUGCACGUGUGCGCCGCGCACACGCACGUGUGCCUCAAGCUGUGGGGCAGUUUCAGCUGAAUUCUCUUCCAGCCCGCCAGUGCUCCGGAAAGACCGGCGUCAUUCCAGCUCUUCCUCCGGAGA